UAUAUAUAUGUAAAUACACGUGUGUGUGUGCGCGUGCACGUAUAAAACAUUUCUAAGCUAUGUAGGUAGUGCUGUUAUCCAUAUUUUACAGGUAGAUUCAGAAACCAUAGCUCGAUAUUGGUUCACAGUGAUCACUCAGAUGGGUGGGUAAUGUAUAGCUGUGGGCCUCUCUGCCUCAAUAUACUCAAUUCUCAUGUUCAAAACAUUAGAACUGUUAAUUGUUGCUCAUGCAUAAAUACUUCUCGAACUUCCUUUAAAACAUAUCCUGUAAUUAAAGCUGAUCUUGAGUGUCCAUGUGCAGUAUGAAAUGUUCCCUAAAGUGCCAGCACAUAUUAUUGCUUGGGCUUAAAGAUGAGAAGCACAAAAGGGAAUCUAAAAUACUAAACCAAGAAGUUACAAUUUAAAUUUCCCCUUGGAAGAUAUAAGAAAAGGUUUAAACACUUUUCUGCAUAUGAAAUUUUUCCAUUUCAAAUAAGAGUGGUGAUGUACAGUCACGGUGACUCCGAAUGGUUUCACAUGUAUAUUUGGACAGUCAACUUUUUAGGUAAUGGUCAUAAGUGACUCCCUUACUUCUCCCAUUCAUACUGAGUUUGGGUGCCUCCAGUUGUAUCCACUUCAUACUCUGACCAGUUAAACAUUCUGAGCAUGCAGAGCAGGGGCUGUGAUCUAGUUCUCUGCCUAGAUAACUCAGAAAGGCAAUAGUACCUAGAUUUCCUUCAAGAAUUGUUCUGAGUAGUAGAACUGUGUUCUUCGCAAAAAAAAAAAACAACUUUUGAUUAGAGGCUGUGCAAACUGGAGAAUCAGUCUUUGUAACUCUGUAAUGUUUUUGGUCUUCUGCUGGAAAGAAAAAAAAUGCUUUGAAGAAUGAAAAAAAAAAAAUUAGGACAGUAAGAAGUAGCCUUUUUCUGUCUUCUCUACA
This 919-nucleotide long non-coding RNA is filed under the name Marmota monax (woodchuck). Lineage: Eukaryota; Metazoa; Chordata; Mammalia; Rodentia; Sciuridae. The record is from RNAcentral.